This 539-nucleotide ribosomal RNA is filed under the name Curvularia inaequalis. RNAcentral's name for it is "LSU rRNA". It matches the Rfam family "Eukaryotic large subunit ribosomal RNA", at positions 82 to 636 of the family's 3401-position model. The record is from RNAcentral. Lineage: Eukaryota; Fungi; Ascomycota; Dothideomycetes; Pleosporales; Pleosporaceae.
AGUAACGGCGAGUGAAGCGGCAACAGCUCAAAUUUGAAAUCUGGCUCUUUUAGAGUCCGAGUUGUAAUUUGCAGAGGGCGCUUUGGCUUUGGCAGCGGUCCAAGUUCCUUGGAACAGGACGUCACAGAGGGUGAGAAUCCCGUACGUGGUCGCUAGCUAUUGCCGUGUAAAGCCCCUUCGACGAGUCGAGUUGUUUGGGAAUGCAGCUCUAAAUGGGAGGUAAAUUUCUUCUAAAGCUAAAUAUUGGCCAGAGACCGAUAGCGCACAAGUAGAGUGAUCGAAAGAUGAAAAGCACUUUGGAAAGAGAGUCAAACAGCACGUGAAAUUGUUGAAAGGGAAGCGCUUGCAGCCAGACUUGCUUGCAGUUGCUCAUCCGGGCUUUUGCCCGGUGCACUCUUCUGCAGGCAGGCCAGCAUCAGUUUGGGCGGUGGGAUAAAGGUCUCUGACACGUUCCUUCCUUCGGGUUGGCCAUAUAGGGGAGACGUCAUACCACCAGCCUGGACUGAGGUCCGCGCAUCUGCUAGGAUGCUGGCGUAAUG